CCACUACUCUACCUGAAUGAUGGCCUCAAUUUCACCUAAAAUAGCAUCUUCAUGCAGUUCUGGACAGUUAAAUAGUGAUGUACUUUGUCAGGCUCUUUCCACUCUCAGAGGAAUUGUGGAGUCCUGUUAUGGCCCAUUUGGUAGACUAAAACUAAUUCACAAUGCUGUAGGAGGCUACGUUCUAACCACAUCACAGUCUUCUGCGCUUUUGCGUAAUCUUUCUGUGUCCCAUCCUGUGAUGAAGUUGCUAAUAGCUUCCGUGCUGAAUCAUGUUUCUCGAUUUAGUGAUUCUGGACUUUUUACAGCGAUUCUCUGCUGUAAUUUGGCUGAAAAUGCAAAACAACUUAAUGUACCAAGCAGUCACAUUGUCAAAAUCCAUAAACACCUUCUGAAUAUUUGCCUUGACUAUCUAACUUCUGAGGAAUGUAGCUGCAGAAUACAAAUAGAUUUUAGUAACAGCAAGACUUUGCUUUCACUUGUUCGUACAAUGAUAAAUAAGCCUACUUGUAUGUUGACUACAAAAGAAGCUGACUACAUCAGUUCCUUAGUGUUAAAGGCAUUCUUUUACACAAUACCAUCUGUGAUUGGAGAUCAUGUAUCUUUGGGAAAGAUGCAGAUUGUUCCCAUUGAGGGGCAAAGUGUUUCUGACUCCUGUGUGCUUUCUGGGAUCCUUAUAGAGAUAUUUUCAUCUCCUUCAACAACAGUUGAUAUUACAAAAUUGACAUUUGGUUACAUUAAGAUUGCUGUAUUCAAUGUUUCCAUGUCAGGAGAUGUUGUUGACAGUGGGAAUGGAACCUGGGAGGUGACACCAGAUUUCAGUCCUGAAGAUGAAUCACUUGCACAGCUGCUGAAGGUGGGAAAACAGCUAGUUUAUGACCAAGUUCACCUUGUUUUGUGUCAGCGAGUGAUCCAUCCUGUUCUAAAACAAUAUCUCCAGGAGCAACAAGUGAUGGUAGGAGAUAGACUUGGAGUUGCCCUCAUGGAGCCUCUGAUUCAAAUGACAGGUGCACAAUCCAUUAGUUCAUAUUAUCAUCCUAUUCUCCCUAACUGCUAUGGCAUUAUUAAGAACCUGCACAUUGUGAAGUUUGGUUUCAAGCAAUUCCUGCAUCUGAUCCCAAAUGAGAAUAAGCCUGUGUGUAGUUUGUUACUAUGUAAUCGAAGUGAAGCUGGAGUGAAUGAGCUAAAGCUUGUCUGUCAAUCUGCAGAACAUGUGAUGCGACUUACACUCAAAGAGCCUUUAGCUGUACUGGGAGGAGGGUGUACUGAAUUCCAUCUCGCUACUUAUGUUGGACAUAAGAGCCAAACUGUGACUGAUGAUAAGUUAGCGGAGUUGGGCUGCUCUCGAUCUGAAUAUGGAAUUGUUGCUGACAGUUUCUGCCGCUCAUUGCAGCGUACUGCCUCUUCACUGGAACAUGAUGGUGAUUGAUCAUAUCGUCAGGCAUGAACACAUACUGAAGAAGCUGUUUGUAUGGAUGGAGACCCAAGAGGGAGAAAGUGAAUAAAAGAUGUCAGAGAAAUGAAAAUUAAAAAUGUGGAGCCCCAGUGAGCAACUAAGAAGCCACAAGAAUAUACUACAGUGGAUACGAAGCCAUGAAGAAAAUGAUGAGAUUGAGUUUCCUCACUGGAUGGUGGAGAAAUGCAUUGAGCUAGAAUUAACUUUGUUGCCCAGAUUUUGAAACAACACAGUCAUGAUUUUUUUAAAAAUGUAGUUCCUGUAUGUUUUUGACAAUGUGGCCAAUUGAUGUGCCUAACUAUGAACCAAUCAGAAUGCACCUUCAAUAAUGAUGCUGCGCUACUUGUCAUGUUGUUAUGGAGGCACUUUAAUAAACUCAGAUCUACAGGGGUUCCCCGAUUUAUGAAUGUCUGACUUACAAACAUGAUUUCCAUAUGUGGUUGUAAUUUCAAAGAACCAACAUAUGGACAUUUCCUGUACUUAUGAAUGGCUUCUUUACAUCAUCCUGUGCAGUGUUCCAACUUGCAUUCAAUUCAACUUGUGACUGGACUCCAGAAGGGGACCUGUUCACAACCCAGGGACUGCCUGUACAAAAUGUUGUCUGGUGAAGAUGUCUCUGUUGAUUGAAUUGACUGCAUGUUGUUAUCCUGGAAUUUGUUCAGCCCUGCAUUAGCAAGUUUCAUGAUUUUUGCUAUCACAACAUUGCAGCCUGAAUAAGAAUUAUUGUUUGUGAGAGUGCUGCACACUUUGAAUUUGGCAUGUUUGAUUAACAGCUCCAGGAUUAACAUUCACUGGUUCUUGGGCAGGGCAUGUGACACAACCGAUGUUGCAUAUGUACAUCAUUUUGUAUUGUCUUAUUAAAUUAGAUGAAAUGGUGUCUCUGGGAGUGGGGUGUUUGAAAAGCUUAGGUGCAUUUUCACAAUAUUUAUAAAUAUAUUAUUUUGUUCUGUAAGAAAGUCCGCUAGCACUACACUUGAAUGCAUGCAUCAUUCACCAGAUGUUUUUUGUUACCAAUAAAGUUAAAAAGUUUGACAUUGUAAAGUCACACCCUGAAACUGAGGAGCACAUUCCAAUCAGCAAAGUUUUCUGAGCAGUUAACAGUUAAAUUUUUAAUUUAUUUGGGCCUGCAUUUACUUAACAAUUUGAUUUAUACCCUUGAACAGUCGAUCAUUGCUGCACAUUAGCAUUGUGCAUUUAUGGUAAAACACUCCUCAAAACGCAACGUAUUAUGUAGAUUCCACUGAUCAGUGCAGAACAGACAUUUGUGUAUAUGUCAUAUGAAUCAUCAGCAUUCUGUUCACUAGAAACUGGUUGGAAUAAAUUGCCAUUAACUGGACCACAUGGCAACCUCAUCAGCAGCUAUUGCAAUAAUAAGCUGGAAACUGGCUGCAGCAAAGCAGGCUGAGAAAAAACAGGAUGUUAAUGUUCCAAAAUGUGUUGCUAAUUGAAAUGAUAUAAUUGGGCUAAUAGCUUCCUGUAGUUUUCUAGUGUUCCUUAUAAAGAAAAUAAUUUGGUUAAAAUUCUUUAUUUGAGAUGUGACGUCACUGGCCAAAUCCACUUUGUUGUCUGUCCCUAAUUACCCUCAAGAAGAGAGACAAUUAUCACUUUCUCUUCAUUCCAUGGCCUCUUGGACCGGCCACUACCGAGGACUAGAUCCUGUCUAAUUGCUGAGGACUAAAUCCUGUCUAAUUGCUGAGGACUGGAUCCUGUUCAACUGCUGAGCACUGGAUCCUGUCUAACUGUUGAGGACUGGAUCCUGCCCGAUUGCUGAGGACUGGAUCCUGUCUAACUGCCGAGGCAUGGAUCCUGUCCAACUGCCGAGGACUGAACCCUGUCCAACUGCCGAGGACCGGUUCCUGUCUAACUGCCGAGGACCGGAUCCUGUCCAACUGCCGAGGACCGAACCCUGUCCAACUGCCGAGGACCGCACCCUGUCCAACUGCCGAGGACCGGAUCCUGUCUAACUGCUGAGGACCUGGGGCCUGUCAAAGCUGUUGAGGACCGGGUCCUGACAAAACAUCUGAGGACCAGGGCGAUUGAAACUGCCAAGGACUGGAGACUUGCCGAAACCGCCAAAGACCAGGGGCCUGUUGAAGCCACCAAGGCCCAGGGGCCCUUCAAAACUGCUGAGGGCCAGGGGUCCAUCGAAACCGCUGAGGACCGGAACCUAGAUGGUGGUGAUGAGUUUCUGCUGUCAGUCUGGUGUAUAGACACCCACCGUGCUGCUGGGGAGGAAGUUCCAGAAUUCUGACCCAGCAACAGUGAAGGAACAGAAAUACAGUUCCUAGACAUGGUAUUACAUGAAUUGGAAGGCAACUCGUAGGGUGAACUAAAAUGUGGGAACUAGAACAUCCUCAUUUCUGACCAUAUGAUGGAGAGAUGGUAAUUGAUGAAGAAUCUGAAGACUGUUGAGCCGAGGACACUACCUUAAGGAGCUCUUCCUACGUCUUAGGGAUGAGAUUGUUUUCCCCAACAAUCGCAAUCACUUAAUGAUUGUAAUAAUAGUGACAAGCACAUCAAUUAGCAGCACAUAGCACAAAAGGAAAUCAUUCACCCCAUAGGGUUUCUGCUGACAUUUUUGAAAGGGCUGCUCAAUUAGGCCCUCUAUUUCGCUGAUUCACCAUAGUCUCCAAGUAUUUCCUUUUAAUCCGAUUUAUUUUGGGUUUUUUUAAGUUAGUCAUGAGUCUGCUUGUACUGUAAUUUCCAGGGGUGCAUUCUUGGGUUAGAACUCAUUGUGUAAAACUAAUUCUGUUGAUCUCCUGUCUGGUUCCUUUAUCUGAUAUCUCUGUCCUCUGGCUAGAAAUCCAUCUGCCGUAGAAACAGUUUGUCCCUAUUUAUUGCUUUAAAAUGCCGUAUAAUUUUAAACAGCUCCAUUAAAUUAGCUUCUCUAAUUCUUCCGUGUAACUGAAGUCCCUCAUCGCUGUUGUAUCACCUUUAUUUUAAUAUUCUUAUAUGGUAUGUGAGCUUUAUUUUACCUGCUGCUCCAAGACACCAGCUCUGAAUGUUCUUGGCCUUCCUAUAUCAAGUCCAAAAUGGCAGGAUUUAUUUGAAGCUCCAAUAUUUUCUUUCAAUUCUGGCAGUCCAGAAUGGAAGAGACCAAUUUCAUGAAAGUUGCUUGGAGCACACAGAAACUUGGAACAACAUUGCAUGAUCAUUCCAUUUGGUGAGCAACAAUAACUCUGAGAGGAAGUUGUUUCCCAAAUCUACCACCUGUUUGAAAACUGGAUCAUUGUAUCCAUUAAUAUUUCCCAUAUGUUUAAACUUCUUGCAUUUUGUAUAAAUCGCAUCAUAUCUGAAAGCCUUGCUGUGACAGUUUUGGGUGAUUCUCACAAAGUGAUUGUGUGUGAAGUCCACACUGUCCUGCUUGUGAGAAAAUGCUGUGCAAUGAAAAAUAUAUUGCUGCAGAAAAGUGUGGGAACAUUUAAAAAUAAAUCAUCUCCAAUUCAAAAGAUUUUGAGCCAGUUUUUCUUCAGCUCUCUUAGUCACUUUAAACACAAUAAAAUUGCUUGAAAGUAAUCAAAUGUGUGUGAUCUUGUUUCUGAAUGUGUCCACGUAGAUACAGUACCUACCUCAAAACCAACAGAACCGAGAAUGCAACUAUGCUGAAUUUUGGAUUUUACUAGGUCGUGGGUCAGUGGGUGGAUCCGGCAAAUUUGGUCAGAUGGGGUCAGGGGCCACUGGAAGUAAUGGGCAUAUGCCAGUGCGCAAAUAGCAAAACAGAAAUGGAGUCUGGAGCCAUGCUGUUCCUUGUUGAAUUGUCCAGAUAAAUUAAUUUUAAUGGAGUACAUUUAAAAAAAAAGUGCAUGGCACAUUCGGAAGCACCCAGUUUUUUGGACAUUUUCAGGUUUUCAACAGCCAGUUUUGAGAGUACAUCUGUGUAGGGAAUAAAACCAUUUUCUCCAGUGGAUUUAUUUUUCUGCAAUAAACUUUUGUGUCAAAAAGUUUGAAUCAGAAAAAUCAAAGAAUUUAUAUUUAUGAUGCUCACUAUUUUACAGUUUACACAUUCCAGAAAUGCUGCAUGAAAACAAAAUCUCUUGUACUGUGUCACCUCUUUCGUCUCUUUAAAUGUGUUCCGACAUGCUGUAUGUUUCACAAGUCUCUGCUGCUAUUAAAAAUGCCUAAUCCUA
Non-coding RNA from Chiloscyllium plagiosum (whitespotted bambooshark), 5580 nucleotides. Lineage: Eukaryota; Metazoa; Chordata; Chondrichthyes; Orectolobiformes; Hemiscylliidae. The record is from RefSeq and is a predicted model, not a curated record.